AUGGGGGGAUUCAAGAGACGAGGGCUUAUGGCCUCUCCUCGCCUACGGCCGCUCACAAAAUUAACCCUCUAUACUUCCUCCGAUUUCUUUGCUGGUUCCUAUCCCUCAGGCUCACAUGACAGAGAGGUUUGUUCCCGUUCCUCCAAGCUCUUUGAUCUGAGUACGAAAAACAACACAGGAGUCCUUGCCGCUCCCGUUUGCAGCCUCCUCUCCUCCACCCUCACCAGAUUCGAGCUUGGUUUCACCAACGAGGUAGAGUGCUUGACAGAGGAGCAAGAGGAGGCCCUUCAACUUCUGACCUCUCUUAAGAGGAUCCGAUUUUUUGGGGGAUACAAGCUGCAUCGCCUCCCUGAAGGUCUACACAAGCUUAUCAACCUCAAGCAAUUAGUGAUCUGUGCGUGUUCAGCCAUCAGGUCGCUGCCCAGCCUUCCGAACUCUCUGCAGGAAUUAGAGAUAGAGCGCUGUAAUGACAUCAAGUCACUUCCCAAGGACGGCCUUCCAAGUUCAAUGAUAGAGUUAGAUGUCAGCUGUGGCAACAGCCAGGAGCUAAAGAGGGAGUGCCGCAAGAUGACAGCAAUCAUCCCUAUUGUCAGAACCUGA
RNAcentral lists this ribosomal RNA (600 nucleotides) under Triticum aestivum (bread wheat). Its description in RNAcentral is "partial small subunit ribosomal RNA". The record is from RNAcentral. Lineage: Eukaryota; Viridiplantae; Streptophyta; Magnoliopsida; Poales; Poaceae.